RNAcentral lists this ribosomal RNA (496 nucleotides) under uncultured bacterium. Its description in RNAcentral is "bacterial SSU rRNA". It matches the Rfam family "Bacterial small subunit ribosomal RNA", at positions 21 to 507 of the family's 1533-position model. The record is from RNAcentral.
GGCUCAGGAUGAACGCUAGCUACAGGCUUAACACAUGCAAGUCGAGGGGCAGCAUCAUCAAAGCUUGCUUUGAUGGAUGGCGACCGGCGCACGGGUGAGUAACACGUAUCCAAUCUGCCGACAACACUGGGAUAGCCUUUCGAAAGAAAGAUUAAUACCGGAUGGCAUAGUUUUCCCGCAUGGGAUAAUUAUUAAAGAAUUUCGGUUGUCGAUGGGGAUGCGUUCCAUUAGGCAGUUGGCGGGGUAACGGCCCACCAAACCUACGAUGGAUAGGGGUUCUGAGAGGAAGGUCCCCCACAUUGGAACUGAGACACGGUCCAAACUCCUACGGGAGGCAGCAGUGAGGAAUAUUGGUCAAUGGACGAGAGUCUGAACCAGCCAAGUAGCGUGAAGGAUGACUGCCCUAUGGGUUGUAAACUUCUUUUAUACGGGAAUAAAGUGAGGCACGUGUGCCUUUUUGUAUGUACCGUAUGAAUAAGGAUCGGCUAACUCCGUG